AGGAUCCCCAUCUAUAAUGACCUCUGACCCCUGUAGGAGAUGGUGGGUCUGAUUAAACAGUCCCAGAUCCCCAUCUAAAAUGACCUCUGACCCCUGUAGGAGAUGAUAGGUCUGAUUUAAAUAGUCCAGGAUCCCCAUCUAUAAUGACCUCUGACCCCUGUAGGAGAUGAUGGGUCUGAUUAAAUAGUCCAGGAUCCCCAUCUAUAAUGACCCCUGAGCCCUGUAGGAGAAGAUGGGUCUGAUAAAACAGUCCAGGAUCCCCAUCAUCUGUAUGUGUAAUGACCUCUGACCCCUGACCCCUGUAGGAGAUGAUAGGUCUGAUUAAACAGUCCAGGAUCCCCAUCAUCUGUAUGUGUAAUGACCUCUGACCCCUGACCCCUGUAGGA
Molecule: long non-coding RNA, 386 nt
Organism: Oncorhynchus tshawytscha (Chinook salmon)
Lineage: Eukaryota; Metazoa; Chordata; Actinopteri; Salmoniformes; Salmonidae
Source: Ensembl